Molecule: ribosomal RNA, 450 nt
Filed under: uncultured bacterium
Lineage: Bacteria
Description: partial 16S ribosomal RNA
Rfam family: Bacterial small subunit ribosomal RNA
Source: RNAcentral
GUGGGGAAUAUUGGACAAUGGGCGAAAGCCUGAUCCAGCCAUGCCACGUGUGUGAAGAAGGUCUUCGGAUUGUAAAGCACUUUAAGUUGGGAGGAAGGGCAUUAACCUAAUACGUUAGUGUUUUGACGUUACCGACAGAAUAAGCACCGGCUAACUUCGUGCCAGCAGCCGCGGUAAUACGAAGGGUGCAAGCGUUAAUCGGAAUUACUGGGCGUAAAGCGCGCGUAGGUGGUUCGUUAAGUUGGAUGUGAAAGCCCCGGGCUCAACCUGGGAACUGCAUCCAAAACUGGCGAGCUAGAGUACGGUAGAGGGUGGUGGAAUUUCCUGUGUAGCGGUGAAAUGCGUAGAUAUAGGAAGGAACACCAGUGGCGAAGGCGACCACCUGGACUGAUACUGACACUGAGGUGCGAAAGCGUGGGGAGCAAACAGGAUUAGAAACCCCAGUAGUCC